UGGGGAAUAUUGGACAAUGGGCGAAAGCCUGAUCCAGCAAUGCCGCGUGAGUGAUGAAGGCCUUAGGGUUGUAAAGCUCUUUUACCCGGGAUGAUAAUGACAGUACCGGGAGAAUAAGCCCCGGCUAACUCCGUGCCAGCAGCCGCGGUAAUACGGAGGGGGCUAGCGUUGUUCGGAAUUACUGGGCGUAAAGCGCACGUAGGCGGCUUUGUAAGUUAGAGGUGAAAGCCCGGAGCUCAACUCCGGAACUGCCUUUAAGACUGCAUCGCUAGAAUCAUGGAGAGGUCAGUGGAAUUCCGAGUGUAGAGGUGAAAUUCGUAGAUAUUCGGAAGAACACCAGUGGCGAAGGCGACUGACUGGACAUGUAUUGACGCUGAGGUGCGAAAGCGUGGGGAGCAAACA
RNAcentral lists this ribosomal RNA (402 nucleotides) under uncultured Sphingomonas sp. RNAcentral describes it as "bacterial SSU rRNA". It matches the Rfam family "Bacterial small subunit ribosomal RNA", at positions 355 to 774 of the family's 1533-position model. Lineage: Bacteria; Pseudomonadati; Pseudomonadota; Alphaproteobacteria; Sphingomonadales; Sphingomonadaceae. The record is from RNAcentral.